Vanessa tameamea is the source of this 396-nucleotide long non-coding RNA. RefSeq lists it as uncharacterized. The transcript has 3 exons. NCBI's taxonomy places the organism in Eukaryota, Metazoa, Arthropoda, Insecta, Lepidoptera, Nymphalidae. The record is from RefSeq and is a predicted model, not a curated record.
UGAAAAUGCCAUCAAACUCCCGAUUCAAGUGUCAUUUUGGUUGUAAAAACGAUGAUAUUCAAGACAAAGGAGACAUUUACAUUUAUAACCAAAUUCGAAUAUGAUAUCGCCACUUUGAGGAAUGUUAUUGUUCACAAAGCCACAGACUCACAGCUAAUGCAGUUCCAACGCUAAAUAUUGGUUCAUCUCAGCUGCAACCCAUGGAAACUGAUGCUAUUGAACAUGUGCUUAAUGUAAUGCAGCCAUCAACUGCCCUAACAACAAAGGAUGAUCAGGGUGAAGGUACUUGCAAACAACAGUAAAUUGGUUUUUCAGAAUUAUUCUUAGAUUUUUAUUUAAUAUUCCAACAUUAAGUACAUCAUCUCUGAACCAAAUUACAACCUGAUCCUUAAAUGA